UGGUUGUCUGCCUCGAGCAUAUCGCGCGCACACCGCGAGCGUGACGCCAGGCGACUCGCCCAUCCUCGGCCCCGUUCGCCGCUCUCCGCGAAAAAAAGAGAGCAACCUCCAGCACAUCGAAUAAAACUUGCCAGACGACCAGCAGAAUAACAGGACCGGUAAUGUGGCAAUGGUUGACUAUGGAGGCGAGCCACCCAUUCAUAAACAGUUAAUUUACGACCGGACUGUCACAAGCUACUGCGACUCCUCGUUGAGAUGUCGGCCUCGGGAAAAGAAUGACAACAAUGAUCGACAAAAACGACCUCCUCGCUGCCUUCCACGAUGAGAUGAGAUGUGACAGUUAAAAGUCCACCGUGCGGUCGGAGGAGCUGGUGAAGGGGAGGGUGCAGACGUUGUCGCCAGAACGUGGUCGCCAUGCAAAGAAA
This 425-nucleotide long non-coding RNA is filed under the name Pomacea canaliculata. RNAcentral's name for it is "uncharacterized LOC112563030, transcript variant X1". The record is from RNAcentral. Lineage: Eukaryota; Metazoa; Mollusca; Gastropoda; Architaenioglossa; Ampullariidae.